CACAUACUCCCUCCGUCCAGAAUUACUUGUCGCAUAAAUGGAUGUAUCUAGACGUAUUUUUAAUUCUAUAAUACAUCCAUUUCUACGACAAGUAAUUCGGGGCGGAGGGAGUAUUUU
Triticum urartu is the source of this 117-nucleotide non-coding RNA. The record is from Rfam. Lineage: Eukaryota; Viridiplantae; Streptophyta; Magnoliopsida; Poales; Poaceae.